RNAcentral lists this ribosomal RNA (784 nucleotides) under uncultured Acidobacteriota bacterium. RNAcentral's name for it is "bacterial SSU rRNA". It matches the Rfam family "Bacterial small subunit ribosomal RNA", at positions 37 to 852 of the family's 1533-position model. Lineage: Bacteria; Pseudomonadati; Acidobacteriota. The record is from RNAcentral.
UGGCGGCGUGCCUAACACAUGCAAGUCGCACGAGAAAGGGGCUUCGGCUCUGAGUAAAGUGGCGCACGGGUGAGUAACACGUGAAUUAUCUACCUUCGAGUGGGGAAUAACCUCGGGAAACCGAGGCUAAUACCGCAUAACACUUACGAGUCAAAGCAGCAAUGCGCUUGAAGAGGAGUUCGCGGCAGAUUAGUUAGUUGGCGGGGUAAUGGCCCACCAAGACGAUGAUCUGUAUCCGGCCUGAGAGGGCGCACGGACACACUGGAACUGAAACACGGUCCAGACUCCUACGGGAGGCAGCAGUGGGGAAUUUUGCGCAAUGGGGGAAACCCUGACGCAGCAACGCCGCGUGGAGGAUGAAAUCCCUUGGGAUGUAAACUCCUUUCGAUUGGGAAGAUUAUGACGGUACCAAUAGAAGAAGCCCCGGCUAACUUCGUGCCAGCAGCCGCGGUAAUACGAGGGGGGCAAGCGUUGUUCGGAAUUAUUGGGCGUAAAGGGCGCGUAGGCGGUUUGACAAGUCUGAUGUGAAAUCUCUGGGCUCAACCCAGAGUCUGCAUUAGAAACUGUCGGGCUUGAGUAUGGGAGAGGUGAGUGGAAUUUCCGGUGUAGCGGUGAAAUGCGUAGAUAUCGGAAGGAACACCUGUGGCGAAAGCGGCUCACUGGACCAUAACUGACGCUGAGGCGCGAAAGCUAGGGGAGCAAACAGGAUUAGAUACCCUGGUAGUCCUAGCCCUAAACGAUGAUUGCUUGGUGUGACAGGUACCCAAUCCUGUCGUGCCGAAGC